Long non-coding RNA from Paramisgurnus dabryanus, 499 nucleotides. RefSeq lists it as uncharacterized. The record is from RefSeq and is a predicted model, not a curated record. Lineage: Eukaryota; Metazoa; Chordata; Actinopteri; Cypriniformes; Cobitidae.
CAGGACAGGGAGUAGCAUCUGCCUGCACAAGCGGAGGCUGCAGUUUCGGGACCGCAGUCAUAGGACCGCAGUUAUAGGACCCUAGGUUUUUAGUGACAACGCCACCUAGCGAACUAGAGGACCAACAAAGAUGGAUGACAAGCAGAGUUGAAGUGGAGGAAUUUAAUCGAAUCAUAGACAAACAAUUGAAAAAAAGAGGGGAGAGCAUCCAGUUGCUGCUGCAUACAUCACAAUGUGUGCUUUAAAUAUUUAAUAUUUAUAUUUAUCUAUCUCUCUCUAUUAUUAUUUUUUAUCUGCUCAGAUGUGCUUUAUUGACAUGAAUGUUUCAAGAACCUUUGAUCCUGUAAUGAACACUAUGCAAUACUAAUAUGAACAUUACUUGGUAUGAAGAUUGAUAUAAUUUUGUACCGUAUAUAAUGUGUGUGCUCUGUGGUGACUAAAAUCUUUAAAGUUUGAAAUCAAAAAUUAAAGAGUUGUUGAACAUGUUCAACUAAAUGUU